This is a long non-coding RNA of Myiozetetes cayanensis, 270 nucleotides long. RefSeq lists it as uncharacterized. NCBI's taxonomy places the organism in Eukaryota, Metazoa, Chordata, Aves, Passeriformes, Tyrannidae. The record is from RefSeq and is a predicted model, not a curated record. The transcript is spliced from 3 exons.
GUGAUGAUGAGGGUUUUGUUCUCCAGUCCCUCCCAGUCCCUCCCAGUGCCUCCCAGUGCUCCCAGUGCCCACCAGGAUGGUGGUGAUGAUGAGGGUUUUGUUCUCCAGUCCCUCCCAGUCCCUCCCAGUGCCUCCCAGUGCUCCCAGUGCCCACCAGGAUGGUGGUGAUGAUGAGGGUUUUGUUCUCCAGUCCCUCCCAGUCCCUCCCAGUGCUCCCAGUGCUCCCAGUGCCCACCAGGAUGGUGGUGAUGAUGAGGGUUUUGUUCUCCA